AUGCGUUAAUCGAAGAAAUCGUCAAAAGUUAGCGCAAUUCGCUGGAAUAUUUAGUGCACCGUUCCCAAAUAUCGUUCCUUCAAUGAGAUUGCAACAGCGCAGGCACAAGCGAAACGCAAUUUUUGCAACAAACGCCAAUGCCCAGCAACGUUACUUCUAGUUGCAUUCAUCCUGCAUGGGACCAGGCUUUUACAGGCGCAUCGGUGUAAUUUAAGUGCCGCUGGGACACUCUUGCGCGCUCGAGUGCACUAUACCAUUCUGCAUUAACCUAAAAAGGGUUUCUCCGGCUCACUGGCAACUCUUGCCACUUACACCAAGCCUGUACCGCCUGAUGUAGCUACUGUGUUGGCCCCACGAUGUCGUAAACGAGCAGCCGUUUAAGGCCGAUACACGCGUCACCCCCUUCGAUUCCGAUCGAACCCAACUAAACCGGUGUCCAACUACGAGCAUCUACUGCGGAUGUCAUUUGUUAGUUGUACUUGACUCGCUUCCGGUGCUGUUUUCUUCUUUCGUUUUCUGUAUUUUCUUUUAUAGAAUUUGUUACUCGAUAGUACUCGUAUGGAUCUUCUUUGUUUGAUCCUUGUAAUUGUACAUGAACAGUUCUAUUUUAUCGACUAUGUGUUACCUCCUCAUUUAUUUUUCUCUGUUCUCUUUUUUAUUUCGAGGAACAACAAAUUUCCAACCAUACGCGUACAAACGUGAGCAACGAUACGAAUUGCGCCGCAUUUUUAUGAAAAAACCAUUUUGCUGUCUGAAAAGUUUCAAGCUCUUGCCUCAGAGCAAUCGCGCAUCAAUCUGCCGAGCUUUUGUUGUUGCCGAAACGAAUAAGCGCGCGAACGCGUCUGGACUCUACUCGUCCAUCCGGACAACGUCGCGAGGCCCUGAAACUAUAAAAAUACCAUUCGCCCGGAUCAACCAUUGUUGUCUGGUCCGGCACGGUCCAUGAAACUCUGUCGCUAGUCCACGGAAUGAUGUAUCAACGACGAUCGCUGAAAGCGUAAAUGGGGAUUUCAUCCUUUCAAUAUUGCCACUGACGCGCGAUCACGCCGCUGCAGAGAUCCCUUUUGUGCGCUAUACGAAUUGCCUCGAAUGCUUGCUGAUCGCAGGAGAAAAGAUUCAGCGGAUUAUUUCAAUUUUCGCGUUGAACACCGAUACCGUUGUUAUAUCUGUCGUGAUUGAAUCGGAUCAUGAAUACUGAUCUUUGAACGUUUGCAGAUCCACACGGUGUAUAUGAGAGUAUAAAAUUGUAUUCC
Bombus pascuorum is the source of this 1253-nucleotide long non-coding RNA. RefSeq lists it as uncharacterized. NCBI's taxonomy places the organism in Eukaryota, Metazoa, Arthropoda, Insecta, Hymenoptera, Apidae. The record is from RefSeq and is a predicted model, not a curated record. The transcript has 3 exons.